AGAGUUUGAUCCUGGCUCAGGAUGAACGCUGGCGGCGUGCUUAACACAUGCAAGUCGAACGAACCUUCGGGUUAGUGGCGGACGGGUGAGUAACGCGUGGGAAUCUGCCCUCAGGAGGGGGAUAACGGCUGGAAACGGCCGCUAAUACCCCAUAUGCCGAGAGGUGAAAUGAAUUUCGCCUGAGGAUGAGCCCGCGUCUGAUUAGCUAGUUGGUGAGGUAAUGGCUCACCAAGGCUUCGAUCAGUAGCUGGUCUGAGAGGAUGAUCAGCCACACUGGGACUGAGACACGGCCCAGACUCCUACGGGAGGCAGCAGUGGGGAAUUUUCCGCAAUGGGCGAAAGCCUGACGGAGCAACGCCGCGUGAGGGAUGAAGGCCUCUGGGCUGUAAACCUCUUUUCUCAAGGAAGAAGAUCUGACGGUACUUGAGGAAUAAGCCACGGCUAAUUCCGUGCCAGCAGCCGCGGUAAUACGGGAGUGGCAAGCGUUAUCCGGAAUUAUUGGGCGUAAAGCGUCCGCAGGCGGCCUUUCAAGUCUGCUGUUAAAGCGUGGAGCUUAACUCCAUCAAGGCAGUGGAAACUGUUGGGCUUGAGUGUGGUAGGGGCAGAGGGAAUUCCCGGUGUAGCGGUGAAAUGCGUAGAUAUCGGGAAGAACACCAGUGGCGAAGGCGCUCUGCUGGGCCAUAACUGACGCUCAUGGACGAAAGCCAGGGGAGCGAAAGGGAUUAGAUACCCCUGUAGUCCUGGCCGUAAACGAUGAACACUAGGUGUCGGGGGAAUCGACCCCCUCGGUGUCGUAGCCAACGCGUUAAGUGUUCCGCCUGGGGAGUACGCACGCAAGUGUGAAACUCAAAGGAAUUGACGGGGGCCCGCACAAGCGGUGGAGUAUGUGGUUUAAUUCGAUGCAACGCGAAGAACCUUACCAGGGUUUGACAUCCUGCGAACCUUUAAGAAAUUAGAGGGUGCCUUCGGGAACGCAGUGACAGGUGGUGCAUGGCUGUCGUCAGCUCGUGUCGUGAGAUGUUGGGUUAAGUCCCGCAACGAGCGCAACCCACGUUUUUAGUUGCCAGCAUUUAGUUGGGCACUCUAGAGAGACCGCCGGUGAUAAACCGGAGGAAGGUGUGGAUGACGUCAAGUCAUCAUGCCCCUUACAUCCUGGGCUACACACGUACUACAAUGCUACGGACAAAGGGCAGCAAACUCGCGAGAGCAAGCAAAUCCCAUAAACCGUGGCUCAGUUCAGAUCGUAGGCUGCAACUCGCCUACGUGAAGGAGGAAUCGCUAGUAAUCGCAGGUCAGCAUACUGCGGUGAAUACGUUCCCGGGCCUUGUACACACCGCCCGUCACACCAUGGAAGUUGGCCACGCCCGAAGUCGUUACUCCAACCCUUGUGGAGGAGGACGCCGAAGGUGGGGCUGAUGACUGGGGUGAAGUCGUAACAAGGUAGCCGUACCGGAAGGUGCGGCUG
This 1465-nucleotide ribosomal RNA is filed under the name Prochlorococcus sp. AG-363-O16. Its description in RNAcentral is "bacterial SSU rRNA". It matches the Rfam family "Bacterial small subunit ribosomal RNA". Lineage: Bacteria; Bacillati; Cyanobacteriota; Cyanophyceae; Synechococcales; Prochlorococcaceae. The record is from RNAcentral.